Molecule: ribosomal RNA, 515 nt
Filed under: uncultured bacterium
Lineage: Bacteria
Description: partial 16S ribosomal RNA
Rfam family: Bacterial small subunit ribosomal RNA
Source: RNAcentral
GGUGAACGCUGGCGGCGUGCCUAAUACAUGCAAGUCGAGCGAAUGGAUUAAGAGCUUGCUCUUAUGAAGUUAGCGGCGGACGGGUGAGUAACACGUGGGUAACCUGCCCAUAAGACUGGGAUAACUCCGGGAAACCGGGGCUAAUACCGGAUAAUAUUUUGAACUGCAUGGUUCAAAAUUGAAAGGCGGCUUCGGCUGUCACUUAUGGAUGGACCCGCGUCGCAUUAGCUAGUUGGUGAGGUAACGGCUCACCAAGGCAACGAUGCGUAGCCGACCUGAGAGGGUGAUCGGCCACACUGGGACUGAGACACGGCCCAGAAUCCUACGGGAGGCAGCAGUAGGGAAUCUUCCGCAAUGGACGAAAGUCUGACGGAGCAACGCCGCGUGAGUGAUGAAGGCUUUCGGGUCGUAAAACUCUGUUGUUAGGGAAGAACAAGUGCUAGUUGAAUAAGCUGGCACCUUGACGGUACCUAACCAGAAAGCCACGGCUAACUACGUGCCAGCAGCCGCGGUAA